RNAcentral lists this ribosomal RNA (459 nucleotides) under Acanthamoeba sp. 1 VT-2013. RNAcentral's name for it is "SSU rRNA". It matches the Rfam family "Eukaryotic small subunit ribosomal RNA", at positions 742 to 1095 of the family's 1831-position model. Lineage: Eukaryota; Discosea; Longamoebia; Acanthamoebidae. RNAcentral also lists the same sequence under 1 other name. The record is from RNAcentral.
CCCAGAUCGUUUACCGUGAAAAAAUUAGAGUGUUCAAAGCAGGCAGAUCCAAUUUUCUGCCACCGAAUACAUUAGCAUGGGAUAAUGGAAUAGGACCCUGUCCUCCUAUUUUCAGUUGGUUUUGGCAGCGCGAGGACUAGGGUAAUGAUUAAUAGGGAUAGUUGGGGGCAUUAAUAUUUAAUUGUCAGAGGUGAAAUUCUUGGAUUUAUGAAAGAUUAACUUCUGCGAAAGCAUCUGCCAAGGAUGUUUUCAUUAAUCAAGAACGAAAGUUAGGGGAUCGAAGACGAUCAGAUACCGUCGUAGUCUUAACCAUAAACGAUGCCGACCAGCGAUUAGGAGACGUUGAAUACAAAACACCACCAUCGGUGCGGUCGUCCUUGGCGUCGGUCUUUCGGGGCCGGCGCGGGGACGGCUUAGCCCGGUGGCACCGGUGAAUGACUCCCCUAGCAGCUUGUGAGA